Molecule: ribosomal RNA, 194 nt
Filed under: uncultured bacterium
Lineage: Bacteria
Description: partial 16S ribosomal RNA
Rfam family: Bacterial small subunit ribosomal RNA
Source: RNAcentral
AUCGUACGGGAGGCAGCAGUGAGGAAUAUUGGUCAAUGGGCGUGAGCCUGAACCAGCCAAGUAGCGUGCAGGAUGCGGCCCUAUGGGUUGUAAACUGCUUUUAUACGGGGAUAAAAGGGUGAACGUGUUCUCCUUUGCAGGUACCGUAUGAAUAAGGACCGGCUAAUUCCGUGCCAGCAGCCGCGGUAAUCGAU